Molecule: ribosomal RNA, 424 nt
Filed under: Verrucomicrobiota bacterium
Lineage: Bacteria; Pseudomonadati; Verrucomicrobiota
Description: Verrucomicrobia bacterium partial 16S ribosomal RNA
Rfam family: Bacterial small subunit ribosomal RNA
Source: RNAcentral
UGAGGAAUAUUGGUCAAUGGGCGAGAGCCUGAACCAGCCAAGUUGCGUGCAGGAUGACGGCCCUAUGGGUUGUAAACUGCUUUUAUAUGGGAAUAAAGUGAGGGACGUGUCCCUUAUUGCAUGUACCAUACGAAUAAGGACCGGCUAAUUCCGUGCCAGCAGCCGCGGUAAUACGGAAGGUCCGGGCGUUAUCCGGAUUUAUUGGGUUUAAAGGGAGAGUAGGCUGUUUGUUAAGCGUGUUGUGAAAUGUAAGAGCUCAACUUUUAGAUUGCAGCGCGAACUGGCAGACUUGAGUGCGCACAACGUAGGCGGAAUUCAUGGUGUAGCGGUGAAAUGCUUAGAUAUCAUGACGAACUCCGAUUGCGAAGGCAGCUUACGGGAGCGCAACUGACGCUAAAGCUCGAAGGUGCGGGUAUCGAACAGG